AGUCCCGAGGUGUAAUACAUGUUGGAUUGCAAACCCAAAGUAGUAGGCUCACGCCUUCCGGGACUU
This 66-nucleotide transfer RNA is filed under the name Sparus aurata (gilthead seabream). RNAcentral describes it as "tRNA-Cys". The record is from RNAcentral. Lineage: Eukaryota; Metazoa; Chordata; Actinopteri; Spariformes; Sparidae. RNAcentral also lists the same sequence under 1 other name.